AGAAGGGAUGGAAGGAGAGAGGUAGAAGAGAAGGGAGGAGGCAGGAGGGAGGCAGAAGAGAAGGGAGGAGGCAGGAGGGAAAGAAGGAGGGAGGUAGAAGAGAAGGGAGGAGGCAAAAGGGAAAGAAGGAGGGAGGUAGAAGAGAAGGAAGGAGGCAGAAGGGAUGGAAGGAGGGAGGUAGAAGAGAAGGGAGGAGGCAGGAGGGAAAGAAGGAGGGAGGCAGAAGGGAUGGAAGGAGAGAGAAAGAAAACAAACAAAACUCUACCUCAAGGAUAUUCCAUCACUAUCACAACAACAACAACUCCCCUCCAUCUCCACCACCAUCACCACCUCACCAUCAUGCCCCCUCCUACAGAGACG
Eriocheir sinensis (Chinese mitten crab) is the source of this 360-nucleotide long non-coding RNA. RefSeq lists it as uncharacterized. Lineage: Eukaryota; Metazoa; Arthropoda; Malacostraca; Decapoda; Varunidae. The record is from RefSeq and is a predicted model, not a curated record. The transcript has 3 exons.